Molecule: ribosomal RNA, 484 nt
Filed under: uncultured bacterium
Lineage: Bacteria
Description: partial 16S ribosomal RNA
Rfam family: Bacterial small subunit ribosomal RNA
Source: RNAcentral
AUUGAACGCUGGCGGCAGGCCUAACACAUGCAAGUCGAGCGGAUGAAGGGAGCUUGCUCCUGGAUUCAGCGGCGGACGGGUGAGUAAUGCCUAGGAAUCUGCCUGGUAGUGGGGGAUAACGUCCGGAAACGGGCGCUAAUACCGCAUACGUCCUGAGGGAGAAAGUGGGGGAUCUUCGGACCUCACGCUAUCAGAUGAGCCUAGGUCGGAUUAGCUAGUUGGUGGGGUAAAGGCCUACCAAGGCGACGAUCCGUAACUGGUCUGAGAGGAUGGUCAGUCACACUGGAACUGAGACACGGUCCAGACUCCUACGGGAGGCAGCAGUGGGGAAUAUUGGACAAUGGGCGAAAGCCUGAUCCAGCCAUGCCGCGUGUGUGAAGAAGGUCUUCGGAUUGUAAAGCACUUUAAGUUGGGAGGAAGGGCAGUAAGUUAAUACCUUGCUGUUUUGCCGUUACCAACAGAAUAAGCACCGGCUAACUUCGUG